This 559-nucleotide ribosomal RNA is filed under the name uncultured bacterium. RNAcentral's name for it is "bacterial SSU rRNA". It matches the Rfam family "Bacterial small subunit ribosomal RNA", at positions 365 to 917 of the family's 1533-position model. The record is from RNAcentral.
UGCGNNUGGGCGGAAGCCUGACGCAGCAACGCCGCGUGUGGGAAGACGGCCUUCGGGUUGCAAACCACUUUCAGGGGGGACGAAGCUUCCGAGGUUAAUAGCCUACGGGGUGACGGUACCCCCAGAAGAAGCCCCGGCUAACUACGUGCCAGCAGCCGCGGUAAUACGUAGGGGGCGAGCGUUGUCCGGAAUCAUUGGGCGUAAAGCGCGUGUAGGCGGCUCGGUAAGUCCGGUGUGAAACCUUGGGGCUCAACCCCAAGCCUGCACUGGAUACUGUCGAGCUCGAGUCCGGGAGGGGAGAGCGGAAUUCCUAGUGUAGCGGUGAAAUGCGCAGAUAUUAGGAAGAACACCGGUGGCGAAGGCGGCUCUCUGGAACGGUACUGACGCUGAGACGCGAAAGCGUGGGGAGCGAACAGGAUUAGAUACCCUGGUAGUCCACGCCGUAAACGAUGGGCACUAGAUGUGGGCGGUGUCGACUCCGUCCGUGUCGAAGCUAACGCAUUAAGUGCCCCGCCUGGGGAGUACGGCCGCAAGGCUAAAACUCAAAAAAAUUGACGGA